Molecule: ribosomal RNA, 1276 nt
Filed under: Escherichia coli 2-222-05_S4_C1
Lineage: Bacteria; Pseudomonadati; Pseudomonadota; Gammaproteobacteria; Enterobacterales; Enterobacteriaceae
Description: bacterial LSU rRNA
Rfam family: Bacterial large subunit ribosomal RNA
Source: RNAcentral
UUAAGCGACUAAGCGUACACGGUGGAUGCCCUGGCAGUCAGAGGCGAUGAAGGACGUGCUAAUCUGCGAUAAGCGUCGGUAAGGUGAUAUGAACCGUUAUAACCGGCGAUUUCCGAAUGGGGAAACCCAGUGUGAUUCGUCACACUAUCAUUAACUGAAUCCAUAGGUUAAUGAGGCGAACCGGGGGAACUGAAACAUCUAAGUACCCCGAGGAAAAGAAAUCAACCGAGAUUCCCCCAGUAGCGGCGAGCGAACGGGGAGCAGCCCAGAGCCUGAAUCAGUGUGUGUGUUAGUGGAAGCGUCUGGAAAGGCGCGCGAUACAGGGUGACAGCCCCGUACACAAAAAUGCACAUGCUGUGAGCUCGAUGAGUAGGGCGGGACACGUGGUAUCCUGUCUGAAUAUGGGGGGACCAUCCUCCAAGGCUAAAUACUCCUGACUGACCGAUAGUGAACCAGUACCGUGAGGGAAAGGCGAAAAGAACCCCGGCGAGGGGAGUGAAAAAGAACCUGAAACCGUGUACGUACAAGCAGUGGGAGCACGCUUAGGCGUGUGACUGCGUACCUUUUGUAUAAUGGGUCAGCGACUUAUAUUCUGUAGCAAGGUUAACCGAAUAGGGGAGCCGAAGGGAAACCGAGUCUUAACUGGGCGUUAAGUUGCAGGGUAUAGACCCGAAACCCGGUGAUCUAGCCAUGGGCAGGUUGAAGGUUGGGUAACACUAACUGGAGGACCGAACCGACUAAUGUUGAAAAAUUAGCGGAUGACUUGUGGCUGGGGGUGAAAGGCCAAUCAAACCGGGAGAUAGCUGGUUCUCCCCGAAAGCUAUUUAGGUAGCGCCUCGUGAACUCAUCUCCGGGGGUAGAGCACUGUUUCGGCAAGGGGGUCAUCCCGACUUACCAACCCGAUGCAAACUGCGAAUACCGGAGAAUGUUAUCACGGGAGACACACGGCGGGUGCUAACGUCCGUCGUGAAGAGGGAAACAACCCAGACCGCCAGCUAAGGUCCCAAAGUCAUGGUUAAGUGGGAAACGAUGUGGGAAGGCCCAGACAGCCAGGAUGUUGGCUUAGAAGCAGCCAUCAUUUAAAGAAAGCGUAAUAGCUCACUGGUCGAGUCGGCCUGCGCGGAAGAUGUAACGGGGCUAAACCAUGCACCGAAGCUGCGGCAGCGACGCUUAUGCGUUGUUGGGUAGGGGAGCGUUCUGUAAGCCUGUGAAGGUGUACUGUGAGGUAUGCUGGAGGUAUCAGAAGUGCGAAUGCUGACAUAAGUAACGAUAAAGC